RNAcentral lists this ribosomal RNA (392 nucleotides) under uncultured bacterium. Its description in RNAcentral is "partial 16S ribosomal RNA". It matches the Rfam family "Bacterial small subunit ribosomal RNA", at positions 523 to 918 of the family's 1533-position model. The record is from RNAcentral.
AUACGGAGGAUGCGAGCGUUAUCCGGAUUUAUUGGGUUUAAAGGGAGCGUAGGCGGGAGCUUAAGUCAGCGGUUAAAUGGUGCGGCUCAACCGUGCCCUGCCGUUGAAACUGGGUUUCUUGAGAGUGCAAGAGGCGGAUGGAAUUCAUGGUGUAGCGGUGAAAUGCUUAGAUAUCAUGAAGAACUCCGAUUGCGAAGGCAGUCCGCUGGGGCACGUCUGACGCUGAUGCUCGAAGGUGCGGGAAUCAAACAGGAUUAGAUGCCCUGGUAGUCCUUACGGUAAACGAUGAUUACCCGCUGUCGGCGGCAGACAGUCGGCGGCCAAGCGAAAGCGAUAAGUAAUCCACCUGGGGAGUACGCCGGCAACGGUGAAACUCAAAUGAAUUGACGGGG